GCCUUCGUGGUGCAAUGGCCAGCACACUCGGCGCAUAUUCGAGAUGUCGGAGGUUCGAGUCCCGCCGAAGGCA
Molecule: transfer RNA, 73 nt
Filed under: Stegodyphus mimosarum
Lineage: Eukaryota; Metazoa; Arthropoda; Arachnida; Araneae; Eresidae
Rfam family: tRNA
About the family: Transfer RNA (tRNA) molecules are approximately 80 nucleotides in length. Their secondary structure includes four short double-helical elements and three loops (D, anti-codon, and T loops).
Source: Rfam by way of RNAcentral